ACCAAUAUGCUAUUGGCUUGAUGUGUUUAAGGCCAAAACCUUCCCUUUAUAUUCGAGCUCUCUUUUCACAAGCGAAGGUUCAAAGUACAAUAUCACAUCCAUUAUAGACUCUAAGUUCCACCUUGACCUUCAAGCUUACGAGCGUGAAGGCCCUUUGUAUCUGAGCACUUUCUUCGCCAUCAGUUACGGUAUUGGCUUUGCCGCUCUAAGCGCUACCAUCGUCCACGUCUCUCUCUUCCAUGGAAGGUAUAAGCUCAUAGAUUAUUACACAUAUAUCAAGUUACAAUUAUUGUAUAUUUUUGGAUUUGGCACAUGAAUGGUUCUUGGUUAUGUUAAGAUUGUCAAUGGUUUUUUGUAGGGAGAUAUGGGACCAAAGCAAACAGAGUUUUAAAGAGAAGAAAAUAGACAUACACACGAGACUGAUGAGAAGGUACAAGGCAGUCCCAGAGUGGUGGUUUUGGUGUAUUCUCGCUAUCAAUAUUAGUGUCACAAUCUUUGCUUGUGAGUAUUACAUAGACCAACUUCAGUUACCAUGGUGGGGUGUUCUCUUGGCAUGUUCAGUCGCCAUUAUCUUUACACUUCCUAUCGGUAUCCUAACCGCUAUCACCAACCAGGUAAAACAGAUAACUAAAUGAAUUUGAGUAAAUGUUAUAAUCAAAUGUUUCUCAAAUGUUAUGUGCCAAUACACCACUUUCAUAUUCUAAAAGAUGAUCUUGAUUAUAGCUAUGUCAAUUUAUUUGGAUAUAUUUUGUAUUUUGUAGGCUCCAGGAUUGAACAUUAUUACAGAAUAUAUCAUAGGAUAUAUCUACCCAGGAUACCCAGUCGCAAAUAUGUGCUUUAAAGUAUAUGGAUACAUAAGCAUGAAACAAGCCGUCUUAUUUCUUCAAGACUUCAAACUUGGUCACUACAUGAAGAUUCCACCUAGAAAUAUGUUCAUGGCACAGGUUACACUCUCUAUUUUCAAUUACAUCAUACCACUUGUUAAGGUUUUAAGUUAUACUCACACAUAAAUGAUCUAUUUUAGAUCGUUGGAACACUUUUAUCAUGUUUGGUGUACCUCGUAACGGCUUGGUGGCUAAUGGAGACCAUCCCCAACAUAUGUGAUUCAAUUUCUAACUCGGUUUGGACAUGUCCAAGCGAUAAAGUCUUCUACGAUGCAUCUGUGAUAUGGGGACUUAUAGGACCACGUAGAAUAUUUGGAGAUCUUGGUUUAUACAAAUCUGUUAACUGGUUCUUCCUCGUGGGAGCUAUUGCUCCAGUUCUUGUAUGGUUAGCCUCAAGGAUGUUCCCCAGACAGCAGUGGAUCAAGCUUAUAAACAUGCCAGUUCUUAUUAGUGCAAUCAGCUCGAUGCCACCCGCAACAGCUGUGAACUACACAACAUGGCUUCUUGCCGGAUUGACACACAGCCAUGGAAGAAUCAGAACAAGUUCUUCCUCUACGUAAUUAUAAUUCUCAUUUCUUAUAUUAAUUUCAUAUAAUUUCAAUUGCUAACUAACAAAUAUUUCGUUACAGUAACAAAAGUCAAAGAUCUGACAAACCCAUCACCAGCCUCAUCAUCUUCAUCAUGCGAAACCAGAGAGGAAGCAGAAGUUCUCUGUUUACCAAUCUCCAGCAACGAGGAAGGAGAAGAAGAAGAGAACUCUCCAAUACGAGAAGUAGCACUCACCGUUCCGACAACAGAUGACCCUUCAUUACCUGUGCUAACAUUCCGCAUGUGGGUCUUAGGAACUCUUUCGUGUAUCCUCUUGUCCUUUCUCAAUCAGUUUUUCUGGUACAGAAGAGAGCCUCUCUCAAUCUCCGCCAUCUCUGCCCAAAUCGCCGUCGUGCCUCUUGGUCGUCUCAUGGCGGCAAAAAUCUCCGACAGAGUCUUCCUCCAAGGGUCAAAAUGGGAAUUCACGUUGAAUCCAGGUAGAUAUAUCAUAUAAAUCCAAAUUUUAGAAAUCUCACCAAGACCCGGCAUUGAAAUUUGUGAGCUAGAAACUAAAUAAUCAAUAUAUAUAUAUAUAUAUAUUUUAAAUUAAUUUAUAGACCAAAUGAUCCAUACAUAUUACCUACUAAAACUUUUGAUGUUAAAGUCAAUAUUUUGUUUCUCUGUGGAGGACCGGCCAGCCUUAAAUCUCACAAUGGAUCAAUCAAUCCACGUUGGUUGGUUAUAUACUUUGAAAGUUUGUUAUGUUUUGAUUAAUUUUCAGGUCCAUUUAAUGUGAAAGAGCAUGUGUUGAUCACUAUUUUCGCUAACGCCGGAGCUGGAUCUGUUUACGCCAUUCACGUCGUCACCGUUGUGAAGGCGUUUUAUAUGAAAAACAUAACCUUCUUUGUCUCUUUCGUUGUUAUCGUUACCACCCAAGUUCGUAUUUCAGGCUUCUUCUUUCCUUUUUUGAGCUUUUUCGUUAUAAAAAGAAUUUAAGUGUUGUUAAAAAAAAAGUUUGGAGUUGGAUCGAGUUUAUUGGUUCUCAUGGAAAGUGUGAUUAUGUUUAGGUUUUAGGGUUUGGUUGGGCCGGAAUAUUCAGGAAAUACCUGGUUGAACCGGCGGAGAUGUGGUGGCCGGCCAAUCUUGUUCAAGUUUCACUCUUUAGGUAAAUACUCUUUGAGUGUUUUUCACGUUUCUCUCUUGAGUUUUCGAUAUUUUCUGUAUACAAAACAAAACAAAACAAAAGGAAUUUAUUGUGUUUUUCCAAAUUUCAGAAAAUUUAUGGAGAUGCCAUUUCAACUUUAUGAUUGUGGCAUUAUAAAGUUCUGAAUUAUCAUAGUAAAUGCUAGAUCAUAUAUCCAAUCCCCAUAUACUCACCAAUAUUAUUUUUUUCUUGAACACAAAACAAAUAAAAUUGAGUUCUAAACUUAAAAAUUUUACUGUAGGGGUAAACAUUUAAUCACGAGGUUUUUAUUUGGCCAUGCAUGUCGCUUUGGUAAAGUUAUAUCAUCUUCAUCUUCAUUCUAUUUUAUAUUUUAAAAAUCUUCAAUUUUAUUCUUUAAAAUAGAGUUUGGAGUAAAAAAAUAUAUAAUUUUACUCCAUUUUUUACUUUAUGGUAAUGUAAAUAAGUUUAUUUUAUAAAUAAAACAAAUUAUUUAUUUUUGUUCAUCGUUUUGUUUUUUACUUUAGUAUGUAAUAAUAUUGAAGUAGAACCCAAUUUCACUAUAUAGUUACUCAUUUAAAAAAAAAGUAGAAUGAUCUAUUAGAGAUGCUGUGAAAAUUAGUUUGAACUUUUUAAAAAAGUUGGUUGACUAAACUAGUAUUUAAUAAUACAGUAUGUAAAAGCACAUGGGACCCAAGUUUCACAUUAAAUGUUGGACGUCUUCGAAAAGUACAAUCAUAUGACGUUUUCUAUACAUUUUUGUAGUUGUUUGUUUUCUAAGCCAAUAAUUAUAAUUGAUGUAAAUAUAAUAACUUUUCCUUAUAGAUGUGGUUUAAGCUGUCCAAGUAGAUGAUAUUUCCAUUAACCAAUCAUUUGUAAAUUGUGUCAAUAAAUAACAUAUUGUUUUGUGGUUUGUUAAAAUGACAGAGCGUUGCAUGAGAAAGAAGAACGGACAAAAGGCGGACUGACACGUACACAGUUCUUCGUGAUAGCAUUUGUCUGCAGUUUCGCAUAUUAUGUGUUUCCGGGAUACUUAUUUCAGAUGUUGACGUCAUUGUCGUGGGUUUGCUGGUUCUUUCCAACAUCAGUCAUGGCCCAACAGAUCGGGUCGGGUCUCCAUGGCUUAGGUGUUGGAGCCAUAGGACUCGACUGGUCAACCAUUUCCUCUUAUUUGGGUAGUCCACUUGCUAGUCCAUGGUUAGUCCAAACUCACUCCAGUGUAGGCUAGAAAUAAACCGAAAUUUGUAUAUAAUCUGAUUGGUUUUUUUUAUUAUUUCUAUGAUAAUUAUUCACUAGCUAUUAAUCCAAACCAACCCCAAUGAGACAAAGUUUUCAAAGUAAAUCAAACAAAGAAAUUUUAGUUUCAAGUUGACCAUCACUUAUCAAAGUCCAAAUAACAUAAAAAGAAGACUAAACCCAACAACCAAAUGCCUGAAUAUAUGGUUUUAUCUUGGUUUAGAUUCAAUUUAGUUUGGUAUUACAACAACUAUGUGUCAUCUGUUUUUAUCAGGUUCGCAACUGCUAAUGUGGGUGUAGGAUUUGUGCUCGCGAUAUACGUCGUGGUACCAAUAUGCUAUUGGCUUGAUGUGUUUAAGGCCAAAACCUUCCCUUUAUAUUCGAGCUCUCUUUUCACAAGCGAAGGUUCAAAGUACAAUAUCACAUCCAUUAUAGACUCUAAGUUCCACCUUGACCUUCAAGCUUACGAGCGUGAAGGCCCUUUGUAUCUGAGCACUUUCUUCGCCAUCAGUUACGGUAUUGGCUUUGCCGCUCUAAGCGCUACCAUCGUCCACGUCUCUCUCUU
This 4375-nucleotide long non-coding RNA is filed under the name Brassica napus (rape). RNAcentral's name for it is "long non-coding RNA (BNAP_LNC008135)". Lineage: Eukaryota; Viridiplantae; Streptophyta; Magnoliopsida; Brassicales; Brassicaceae. The record is from RNAcentral.